This 160-nucleotide non-coding RNA is filed under the name bovine gut metagenome. The record is from RNAcentral.
UGAAGGUUUUGAGAUUUUCAAAACCUGAGAGGGAAGCAGGUGAAAGUCCUGCACAGUACCCGCUGCUGUAAGUUUCACGAAUGCUUUGUGCAGCACCGCCACUGUUGAAAAACGGGAAGGCGCACAAAGCGAAACAAGUCAGAAAACCUGCCAUAAGUUA